ACAUGCAAGUGAAUCUUUGGGAGCUUGCUCCCGAUGAUUAGCGGCGGACGGGUGAGUAACACGUGGGCAACCUGCCUGUAAGACUGGGAUAACUUCGGGAAACCGG
RNAcentral lists this ribosomal RNA (106 nucleotides) under Neobacillus vireti. RNAcentral describes it as "Bacillus vireti partial 16S ribosomal RNA". The record is from RNAcentral. Lineage: Bacteria; Bacillati; Bacillota; Bacilli; Caryophanales; Bacillaceae.